CCUGCUGACAUCCUGACUAACAUGCACAUGAUCAGAUCUCAAAAAUGAGUAGCACCAUGUUGCUCCUGAUGAUUGAAUAGCUUGGUUUGAAUAGUUCAGAAAUGAAUUGAAAGAGGUUCCUUCUGUGGACAAGUCACAGCCAGUGUGGCAAAGCUCUGCUGCAGUGGAUUGAUCUUCCAGUUUGAUUCUAUUACCAUGGUUUCUAAAAGAAGCCGGUCAGCCUCCAUUUGAGAUCAUCAUUGCAGCUAAAAGGUAAAACAAACUGUGUUUCUUUUAUAUAUUCAAUAGUUAGGGACUAUGUCAGGCAAGGAUGACCAGAUAGGACAAAUGAAGCAUUGAAGAACAAGCAUCAGUGACAGCUUUGGUCCAUAGAAAAGUACUAAACAGCUGGCCAACCAAUCUAAUUAAAAAAUAUCAGGAUGUGGCCAGGUGCAGUGGCUCACACCUGUAAUCCCAACACUUUGGGAGGCCAAGGUGGGUGAUCACCUGAGGUCAGGAGUUUGAGACCAGCCUGGAUAACAUGGUGAAACCCUGUCUCUAUAAAAAAUACAAAAAUUAGCUGAGCAUGAUGGUGGGUGCCUGUAAACCCAGCUACUUGGAAGGCUGUGGCAGGAGAAUUGCUUGAACCAGGGAGGUGGAGGUUGCAGUGAUUCGAGAUCAUACCACUGCACUCCAGCCUGGGCAGUAGAGUGAGACUCUUGCCAAAAAAAAAAAAAAAAGAAAAAAAGAACAAAAAUCAAGAUGUGUCCUACUUCAAUUGAGUCCUUCCUUUAAAACAAAAAGAAUUGGGAAGCUCUACUACAGACCAUCCACAGACCUAAAACAUGAACCCUCACAAUUUAACUUUGCUUCUUUCUCUUCUUUCUUCAAGAUUCAGUUUUGCAGAUAGGAAUUUAAAAUUAAUAAGGCUAAUAAUUAUAUUCAAGGCAUAAUAUUGGGAGUCAUAGUACCAAGGUUUGAAAUUAUUGUAUACCUAAGUUCAGAACCUGUGCUCUUCCUACUAUUCUCACUGCCCCUAGAGCACUAGAAAUGGACCAUAAACUAGAGAGGUCCUGGUAACUACCAUAAAAAAUAGAUACAAGUAAAUGUUUUCCAAAUGACAGAUUUCCUACUACUUAAUAAUCUGGCAUAGUAAGAGGUCAGGACUCAGAGGUCUAGAAACAGGAAUUUUUUUUUAAAAAAAAGACUAGGUACCUGCCUCUCAUUACCUUACCAUUUCAAUAAUGUCA
Molecule: long non-coding RNA, 1229 nt
Filed under: Callithrix jacchus (white-tufted-ear marmoset)
Lineage: Eukaryota; Metazoa; Chordata; Mammalia; Primates; Cebidae
Description: lncRNA (ENSCJAG00000079807.1)
Source: RNAcentral